Molecule: ribosomal RNA, 256 nt
Filed under: uncultured bacterium
Lineage: Bacteria
Description: partial 16S ribosomal RNA
Rfam family: Bacterial small subunit ribosomal RNA
Source: RNAcentral
GACGAACCGUGCGAACGUUAUUCGGAAUCACUGGGCUUAAAGCGCGUGUAGGCGGAUGGGAUCGUCGGUAGUUGAAAGCCCCCGGCUCAACCGGGGAAGUGGUGCCGAAACGACCCGUCUGGAGGGACGUAGGGGGACCUGGAACUUCCGGUGGAGCGGUGAAAUGCGUUGAGAUCGGAAGGAACGCCCGUGGCGAAAGCGAGGUCCUGGACGUCUGCUGACGCUGAGACGCGAAAGCUGAGGGGAGCGAACGGGG